AUUGACUUCGGUCCAGGGAAGAGACCUGGCUCACUGCCUUCUUUCCUCAUCCAUAGGCUGGCUCCAAGACCUAUGUGAAAUAAUGGCCACAGUGAUAUUCACUGUACAGAGAAUUCUCCAGGGUGGAGAACUGCAUCUCUAUGUCACCAUCAACUCCUUCCCGAGGCCAGCAUUGAUCUAUAUCUGCAUCAGAACCAGACCUGGGUUCAUAGGUCAAAACUACCUCCACAACCGCAACCGCAUGGCAGGGCAGAAGAAGAAAGCAAGAGAAGUCCCAGGUCUGCUCCUACUGUGAGUAUCUAGUAGGCUCUCAUUCCUGCGGAGGGCCUAGUGCCUUGCAGCUUCUCCAUGGAUAUCAGCCAAAUGCAGAAUCUUAAUGGCUUUCCCUUUCGGUUCGACAAGCCCAGAGCUCUAGCCUGGGUGCGGGCUGUGUGUGAAGAAAUAGGAGUCUUGGUUUCGUUUUGUAACCUGGGCCCCUCCAGUGCCUACCAGCUGGGGCUGGGAACAGGACCAACAUUCAUUGACAAAUGAAGAGAUGAAAACAUUUUCGAAGCUGACAGGCCAUCAAUUGGGUGCCACCCGGGAAGAGAAGCCAUGGUCUGCAGCUCUGCUUCCUGGCCCCACCACCAGGAGAAUAUGGGACUGCCAGCCACACCCAAUGGGCCGCCCUAGGUUUGGGAGGUCUCUUUUUAUCCUGAGAGAAGGCUUGGGAGCAGUUACGAAAGCGACGAGCCUACCGGCUUGGACACGGAGCAGCGAUUGCUUGGCUUGUUGGGUAUGGCUGAGGCCUGUAUACAGUUGGAUGACCUAAGUUAUGGAAGGACAGAGUAGUCAUGUACACAGAAGGGCCCUCUUGAGUGGCAGCUAGGGCCACUGUAAUUUUGUCCCAUGGGGUAGCCUGGGUCAAGCUCUCACUGGAAACUGCCAGUCAGCCGAGGGACCCUGAGGAGACUCACAUUAUCUGUUUGCUGUUUAGGUCCAGCAGUGAAGGCCCCUACUGAUUUGGGGAACCAGCCUCCUGGCGCUUCCUAAAUGCCCUGUUUUGAGAAGUUCCACAGAGUGAGGGUGUAAGUGUCUGGCCUGAAGGGAGAGACAUGCUCCCCCUGGGUUCCAAUCCCCAUCAUACCUUAGCUGUCAGCAGGGAGGGGAGGUUCCAGAGGCUACAGGAGGCUGUAGCAGAGAAACAAAGGCUUACAUUACUACUCCAGGUUUGCUGUUCUCCCCGGAGGCAGAUGGCACUGUGUGUUGGGUGGGGAUCACUUCACCAGGCCUGCCUUUGCCCCAAGGGGCAGUUUCUUGGAUAGGAUAGGGAUAGUGUCAUUAAGCCCAUUUGAGGAAGCAAGCAACCAACCGUUACCAGCUUUGGACUUCACUGACCAUGUUCAGUUACUGUUGGACACUCUUUUCCUUCAGGCACAAAUGGGUAAUUUCUCAUGUUCCUGCCUCUGUGACUGGGGCCAAGCAGGCAUGUCUCCUUUGUUCAGUUCACUGCUCCCACCUCUGGAAUCGUCCCUGCUGUCCAGGUUCUCUGGCCAGGUGUCACAUGGCUUUACUCUGUCGGCAGUCCUCAUGAGAUCGAUGACUCCUGGCGAUCCACGUGUGAAUGACUUGUAGGAAGGGCGCCGGAGUGAGCUGAGGUUGACAGAGAGCCACCUGCAGAGGCUCCAGCAGCUAUGUGAGUGUAUGGCUGGACAGUGUCACUUGUGAGAUGCUCACAGUCCUGUGGUGUCAACUAGAUCAAAGUCUCUCAUAAGAUAGAAGAUGGAAUCUGCCCUUGGUCACAACGCUUGAUUCAGAACCCUGGCUUUUUAUAGGGCUACUCUUUCCUCCGGUGAUGAAGGUUAACAUCCUGGAACAUCCAUGGCACAGAUGCGGGCUAAGUCCUCUACCCUAGAAGAUCUACAGUGCAGCCCUGGGCAGGAUUCCUCCAAGGCUCACACAGUUUAAAUGUUUCAGACUGGGAUCAUUGCAAAAGGAAUUUUUCGCCUACAGAAGAGAGAGGCAAGGAAGGAAAGCUAUGCCCAAGGUCUAGAAACAGGGCAGUAGCCCUGAGUUUGGAAAGCCGCUCCCACCUGGUCCAACUCUCUCUUAGCUCAACCAGUUGUCCGUGUGAAGAUUAGGUUGCUGGUUUUGGCUUUUUUUUUUUUUUCCUUUUUUCUUUUUUGUCAACUUGAUACAAGCUAAGAAGAAAGGCAAUGGCCCCUGAGAACAUGACUCCGUCAGAUUGGCUUGUAGGCAAGUUCACAGGGGAGGGGGGGUCAGUUCCUUGAUUAAUGAUCUAUAUGGAAGGCGCCCGAACCAUUGUUGAGUGGUGCCACCCUGGGCAGAUGGCCCCGGACUGUCUAAGAAAGCAGGCUCAUCAAGCCACAACAAACUAGCCAGUGAGCCCCGUAAACAGAAUUCUUCUGCAGUUCUUGCUCCAGUUCCUGCCUCGAGUUCCUGCCUUGGCUUCCCUGACUGAUGGACUCUCAGCCAAAUAAACACUCUGCUAUGAUA
RNAcentral lists this long non-coding RNA (2496 nucleotides) under Mus musculus (house mouse). RNAcentral's name for it is "RIKEN cDNA 4930552P12 gene (4930552P12Rik)". The record is from RNAcentral. Lineage: Eukaryota; Metazoa; Chordata; Mammalia; Rodentia; Muridae.